Molecule: transfer RNA, 78 nt
Filed under: Methylorubrum extorquens
Lineage: Bacteria; Pseudomonadati; Pseudomonadota; Alphaproteobacteria; Hyphomicrobiales; Methylobacteriaceae
Description: tRNA-Cys
Source: RNAcentral
GGGCUGGUGGGGGAUCGGCUACCCGGUCGCGCCGCAAGCGCUUCACAAGCUCGGUUCAAGUCCGAGCCCAGCCCUCCA